Molecule: long non-coding RNA, 614 nt
Organism: Zeugodacus cucurbitae (melon fly)
Lineage: Eukaryota; Metazoa; Arthropoda; Insecta; Diptera; Tephritidae
Exons: 2
Source: RefSeq, a predicted model, not a curated record
AAUAAUUCAAGAAUUUCGGAAUUUAGCCACAGUUCACGCUCCCCCGCGCUUCGUUGCUUCCGCAGAUUCCCACAAUUUUUGUAUGAAUUUUACGAAUUUGUGCAGCGCCCCACACCCCCUCUGCCGGCGAGCGCAUAGCUUGUUUCUUUGACUGCAAUCAAUCACGACGACAAAAACACUGGAAUAACCAGCAAAUAAAUAUAGAGGAGAAUAAAUACGCAGUUGAAUGUGACUGUGUAUGUGUGUGUGAGUUUAGUUCCACAUGAAAAACUGCAAACUAAAAUAACAGCGAAAUGCAAGCGAAAAAAGAGGAAGAAACAAACGAAAAACUGAAGAAAUUAUUUGUGAUAACCGAGUGUGAGCGGAGGAGACGGGGCGGAUGUGCAAGGGAGGUGGGGAAUCAAAGUCGAGCUGGUAAAAAAUUUAAACAAAAUUCAAGAAUGAUUUUUGGUGGAUGUCUACUAAGUAGAUAUGUAUGGUUGGGUAAAUGUAUAUGUGUAUGUGUGAGUAAUUGUGUGUUAUUUCUAAAUACAGCAGCAGAGCAGAGAGUCUGCGCGACGACGUUGCACAAAAACGAAGUUCGCUUGCAGACGCGCAUUUAUUUAAAAUGUACA